GACGUAGGGCGCGAGCGUUGUCCGGAUUUAUUGGGCGUAAAGAGCUCGUAGGCGGUUCGACAAGUCGGGUGUGAAAACUCCGGGCUCAACCCGGAGACGCCACCCGAUACUGUCGUGACUGGAGUCCGGUAGGGGAGUGGGGAAUUCCUGGUGUAGCGGUGAAAUGCGCAGAUAUCAGGAGGAACACCGGUGGCGAAGGCGCCACUCUGGGCCGGUACUGACGCUGAGGAGCGAAAGCGUGGGUAGCAAACAGG
Molecule: ribosomal RNA, 254 nt
Filed under: uncultured bacterium
Lineage: Bacteria
Description: partial 16S ribosomal RNA
Rfam family: Bacterial small subunit ribosomal RNA
Source: RNAcentral